CGUGACUGACUGCACAUCUCACCAAAGACUAUGAGGCAAAUCAAACGCUUUUCGACUGACACCUUGAGCCAAGCAGAAUCAAAUGACUUGUUCUGCACCUUAGUUUAAUCGCACAGCUGCUCAGACCAGCGUCUGGACUUGGGCUGGCCUGACUCCUAAAAGUGAGCUACAUGACUCAGCAGAUAUGAUUCAUCAGACUAAUUGUUCUGACCGUGAGUACAUCUAAGAAAAUGGAAGCCAUUGAUAAUCUCCCUCGAUCUGUGGCUCCAGGCAAGAUGUCACCCCGUGGGGUCAAAAUGAUCACAAGAAUGGACCAGCCUGACACCCGUGGCGCCAGUGAGCUGGCCCUCGAUGACGGCGGCAUUUUUCCUUCCUCUGAUUGGUUGGAAGUUCAGUCCGCAAUGAAGGCCCACGUACCAAAUGCAUGAACCACCACUGUAAACAAAAGUCGCAACGCAUUCUUCAUCGAAAGCAACAUUCAUACACAAACCUCUGGUUACCGUACCAUGUGCCUUUUAAAAUAUAUCAUAUUAAUAUCUUUUGUUCCCAAUGUAUCCAUUUUGACUUUGUGUCACCUUAGCAGUUAAACCUUCAGGAAACCAAAUCUCUCAGGCUUCAUUGGCAUCAGGCCUUACCUUUACAAUGACAAUAUAGGCUGAC
This is a long non-coding RNA of Phyllopteryx taeniolatus (common seadragon), 660 nucleotides long. RefSeq lists it as uncharacterized. NCBI's taxonomy places the organism in Eukaryota, Metazoa, Chordata, Actinopteri, Syngnathiformes, Syngnathidae. The transcript is spliced from 4 exons. The record is from RefSeq and is a predicted model, not a curated record.